Long non-coding RNA from Bactrocera neohumeralis, 611 nucleotides. RefSeq lists it as uncharacterized. The transcript has 3 exons. The record is from RefSeq and is a predicted model, not a curated record. NCBI's taxonomy places the organism in Eukaryota, Metazoa, Arthropoda, Insecta, Diptera, Tephritidae.
UCAUUUCGUGUAAUUGUUAAAAUUAAGUGAAAUUUAGUGAAUUGUGAAAUAAAGUGAAUUUGUGCAAGGAAAAGUAGUGCAAAUCAAAUUUCAGUGGAGUUGCGUGAUAAAGCAGAGUAAAGUGCGGUUGUGUAAGGUUUUUGUGCUGCAAAAGCAGCAAGAGGAGCGUCGUGCACGGAAGUGCGUGCCUCCUUAAAAGCGCUCUGAAAAACGAGCUAAAUAAGCAUUAAAGUGUCUAAAAUGUGUGAAAUAUAAGUUCAAAUUGAGUGAAAAGUGUUAAAUAAGUGAAAGGUGUAGUAAUUUAUAGCAAAUUGUUAAUAAAUUAUUUGACGUGAUCUUGUGUCGGCAGAAUCGCGAUGUGGCAGCGGAGGCUUCGUUUAGUGCAAUGACCAGGCUUGGCCAUAACUUAAGUGGUAACCAUUUUCUUGGCAAUAAGAAAAAAUCGAUGGGUGAACAUAUAUAUGUGAAUAUAUAAUCUUUACUUGUGACGUAAUAAGUAAACGAUUUACCGCUCCUCACCUACCAUACAUGUCUACAUUUCUAUGGGAGCACGUAACAGAGUUUGUGCAACCCGAUAUAAUUAACGAGUAAGCAAAAUGUAAACGAACUGA